GAUGAAGAACGCAGCGAAAUGCGAUACUUGGUGUGAAUUGCAGAAUCCCGUGAACCAUCGAGUCUUUGAACGCAAGUUGCGCCCGAAGCCACUAGGCCGAGGGCACGCCUGUCUGGGCGUCACACGCCGUUGCCCCCCCAUCUACUCCUUCGGGAUUGCGGGGGGGCGGAUGAUGGCCUCCCGUGCGCCUAGCCGCGCGGUUGGCAUAAAUACCAAGUCCUCGGCGACGCACGCCACGACAAUCGGUGGUUGCGAAACCUCGGUUGCCCGUCGUGUGCGUUCGUCGCGCAUCGAGGGCUCGAAAAAAUGCUCGGCUCCGGCUGGGCUUUCAACGCGACCCCAGGUCAGGCGGGGUUACCCGCUGAAUUUAAGCAUAUCAAUAAGCGGAGGA
This 391-nucleotide unclassified non-coding RNA is filed under the name soil metagenome. Its description in RNAcentral is "partial contains 5.8S ribosomal RNA, internal transcribed spacer 2, and large subunit ribosomal RNA". The stretch from base 1 to 122 matches the Rfam family "5.8S ribosomal RNA", at positions 35 to 154 of the family's 154-position model. The record is from RNAcentral.